Molecule: ribosomal RNA, 235 nt
Filed under: uncultured bacterium
Lineage: Bacteria
Description: partial 16S ribosomal RNA
Rfam family: Bacterial small subunit ribosomal RNA
Source: RNAcentral
UGGCGGACGGGUGAGUAAUGUCUGGGAAACUGCCCGAUGGAGGGGGAUAACUACUGGAAACGGUAGCUAAUACCGCAUAAUGUCUACGGACCAAAGCGGGGGACCUCCGGGCCUCUUGCCAUCGGAUGUGCCCAGAUGGGAUUAGCUAGUAGGUGGGGUAACGGCUCACCUAGGCGACGAUCCCUAGCUGGUCUGAGAGGAUGACCAGCCACACUGGAACUGAGACACGGUCCAG